GAGAGAUUUCUCAACAUAGCCCGCCUCUUCUCUUUUUCCAUCAAGGGUUUUCUCCUCCAUCUUUUCCAAUCAGGAUGGUAUUGGAGCUAUUGAUGGUACCCAUAUUCCAGCAAUGGUAACUGGGCGUGAUACAAGCAGUUAUAGAAAUCAUCAUGGAACAAUUUCUCAAAAUGUUUUGGCCGCUUGUAACUUUGAUUUGGAAUUUAUAUACGUGAUUAGUGGGUGGGAGGGAUCAGCCCAUGAUUCUAUAGUGUUGAGUGAUGCUUUAACAAGGAGAAAUUGACUUAAAAUGCCACAAGGAUUACACAAUUUUCUCCAGAAAGAAUGUCGAUCCGAUGAAUUUCCAAUCGAACCCGAUAACGAAGAUUCUUCAUCUUUUUCGAUUAAUAAGCGGGAAGACUUUGGACCAUUUUUUGAGAGUCAAGAACAAGAAAGAGAGAAUGCUAAUGUAUGGAGGGCUUCUCUAGCAACGGACAUGUGGAAUGAUGUUGGAAAUGUUUGAUAUUUUUUUUUAUCAUUACUAAAAUACUUUUUUUUUAAUAUUUUUAUUAUUUGUUAAUCUACUUGAUAUAAGAUGAAAAAGUACUUUAUGUUUG
Molecule: long non-coding RNA, 596 nt
Organism: Olea europaea var. sylvestris
Lineage: Eukaryota; Viridiplantae; Streptophyta; Magnoliopsida; Lamiales; Oleaceae
Exons: 3
Source: RefSeq, a predicted model, not a curated record